RNAcentral lists this ribosomal RNA (253 nucleotides) under uncultured bacterium. Its description in RNAcentral is "partial 16S ribosomal RNA". It matches the Rfam family "Bacterial small subunit ribosomal RNA", at positions 524 to 776 of the family's 1533-position model. The record is from RNAcentral.
GACGGAAGGUGCAAGCGUUGCUCGGAAUCACUGGGCGUAAAGGGUGCGUAGGCGGCCGUGCAAGUCUGGCGUGAAAGCCCCGGGCUCAGCCCGGGAAGUGCGCUCGAAACUGCGCGGCUCGAGUGCCGGAGGGGAGAGUGGAAUUCCUGGUGUAGCGGUGAAAUGUGUUGAUAUCAUCAGGAACUCCGGUGGCGAAGGCGGCAUGCUGGACCUUCACUGACGCUGAGGCGCGAAAGCUAGGGUAGCGAACGGG